This 67-nucleotide transfer RNA is filed under the name Neoseiulus californicus. RNAcentral's name for it is "tRNA-Trp". The record is from RNAcentral. Lineage: Eukaryota; Metazoa; Arthropoda; Arachnida; Mesostigmata; Phytoseiidae.
AAGGUUUUAAGUUAAUUUAAACUAAUUAUUUUCAAAAUAAUAAAUAUAUAGCCACAUUUAAAUCUUU